RNAcentral lists this long non-coding RNA (388 nucleotides) under Ananas comosus (pineapple). RNAcentral describes it as "long non-coding RNA (ACOM_LNC021723)". Lineage: Eukaryota; Viridiplantae; Streptophyta; Magnoliopsida; Poales; Bromeliaceae. The record is from RNAcentral.
UUUUUUUUUUUUUUGAGAGAUAGGUAGCACGCUACCCGCUUCGUUUAUUUAAUUAAGAAAUAAAUUUAGCUGGAAAUAUAAAUCAACUAGGAUUCGAACUAGGGAUCUCGAGUACCAAUUACCAAGCCUUUUGCAACUUGCUCUAGAGACGGUCGGUCAAUUUCAGUUAUUCUAUCUAAUAUAUUAAAAGUAGUAUAGUUAAUUGCAAGAGGCGUAUCACCUGAUAUAUACUCCCAUGAUCAUUAUACAGAAGCGCUCGUAUAUAUUAAAUAGAUUAAGAAUUUCAAAUCAAGACUCUUUGGAACUGAGAUGGCUUAGUAUCUGCUCUGACAUUCUUUUACUCAAAAGAUCAAUCUGAUCAGAAACUACUCAAAAUUAGUCUUAACAA